Molecule: long non-coding RNA, 2596 nt
Organism: Solea solea (common sole)
Lineage: Eukaryota; Metazoa; Chordata; Actinopteri; Pleuronectiformes; Soleidae
Exons: 2
Source: RefSeq, a predicted model, not a curated record
CAAACAGUUAUCAGGAGUGUUCGUGUCUUUCAAGAAAGCAGCAGAAGACAAUGUUGGUGUUGGGUAACCCUAACCCUAACCCUAACGAGUCCAGGUGUAUUUGUGUUUGGUCACUGUUAAAGGACACAGGUGUCUCAAAAAGCAGCCGGCAUAUUCUUGGUGAACACUUUUCUUUUUUUUACCGUUUAUGGGUACAGAAAUAACACAGUUUGUGCCAUAAAUCGAUCAUUUUUGACAUGAAAACUGCAUCCUGGAUUUCAAGAGAAUAAUGGUGUCUUCAUUCACCAUUACUGUGCAGUUUGAACAUUGCAAUGACAACCUUAAAGUCUGGCCUUGGCCUAGGUAUAGUUUGGCCUAGGACAGUUUAUUCCCCGGGUAUACUCUGGCCUGGACCAAACUACACCCGGGUUUAUAGUGGACAGGGGUUCAUUUGUCCUGUUACACCUGUAACUAUUCUGUUUGGAGUGAAGAGUAGCUGAGAAAAUGCCAAAAUGUGAGUUUUGAAAGGUUGUUCAAAUAUAGAACUGUGUGCUUAAAAAUGAAGGAGGGAGGAUCAUUUGCCAUGUUUGUGAUGAACGUAACGUCUGAUAAAGGUUUUAAAAACAGAUUAUUGCACAAUUUUAAAAAAAUAAAAGGGAAGGGGAAAAGGGGAAGAAGACGAGAGGAGUGCAAGUGGACACAGAUGUCCAGGAAAAAAAGUGCUUGAGCAAGUUGUUUGUACUGGCUUGACUGGAAUGUCUGCAAGGAGGGUCAAAGUGACCAGAACAUGUGACGACACUUUACAGAAUUAGCACAGAUUUGACCUGCCUGACCAAUCCUGCAACUACAGCUAAUCUAAAGGGAGGAAGUUCUCAUGAGGAAGGAAAAACCAUUAAGUAAUCACAGGAUAUAUAAUAACGCCCAGGGCUUUUGCACAGAGAGGGUAAGUUUCUUUGAGUAUUUGACAGCUGAUGGACAAGAGAGAAGACGAAGACCAGAGGACGGUCCAGGACACAAAGGCGCCGUUCUUUCAAUCUCUCACAUCUGUGCGUCGAGCUUCCAGAGGUCCAAACACUUAGCGUGUUUGUGAGUAGAGGAAUUGAGCUGUAAUGGUAACUAUAGUAACUACUAAAUAUUUUAAUCAAUGUUUUAUCAUUGUGUUUUAAGGAUUUUUAUUGGUUUCCAUUGGGACUUUCUUUCUUUGUUAAAAUUCUUCAAUAAACAGUAUAAUAAUAAUUAAAUAAAAGGAUAUUUAAUUAAGUAAUACAGUGUAAACGUAUUAAUAAUCUCAGUUUUUGCUACUUGUCUUGUUUGUGAACAGUAGAACUCAAACAGUUAAAGAGGUUUGUGCUCUCCAAGUUAUUUGAAUUUGAAAAUUGUUGAAUUCAUUGAUGUCCCUGAUAAUCAUAUUUAGUCAUUUUCUUACAGGGAAUUCAGACAUGAUGUCCCAAAAUUUGAUGUAGUCACUCUCUCUUUCCUCCUCUCAGUUUUGAGCAGUUGUCCAGCAGCCUGUGGUUUUAUAUUUUUGUUUCGAUUGGGGGCUUUAGGAGAGCAGACAGGAGGGGGUGGGAUGCAUUGGUUAUGUUUAUUUAAAUGUACAUUAUAACCAUUUCAAGAUUAAUUUCCCCAAAAAAUGUAUUGUUGAAGUUUUUUUUUUUUUUUUUGUAACAAAUAACACACAAAAGUGUUUUAGAAACAAGUACAGUCAUGCUAUAAAUUGCUAAUUCCUAACCGUGGACUGCAGCCCUCUGGUGGGCAGAGGAGGUACUGCAAGUAGGCUGUGAGAGGUGAAAGUUUUUAACUUUCAUUUUUUUGUGCUUGUAUUUCUAAAAAGAAUAGACAUGAAAUAUUUACUUAAUCGGAAGUCAUUAAACAAAGCAAUGGCAGUUUUAAUGUGUUUUCAUGUUUGAUUUAUUUUUACAAUCUGGACCUGGAUUAGAGCUGAGAUUAAAGGGUUUGGUGAAUUUCUGAAUUAAAAUUUAAAUCUUAAAUUUGGGAAUGGAGGAUGUGUAUAAUCUAAAUGGUUGAGCAGGAUGUCGAGUUUGUAUUUAACUUGUGUGGCUUUUCUGGCCUUUAGAGGACCUGGAAAUGCAGUACGAUGGGGCCCUUUGCACGGCAGCCAUUUUGACAGGUCAUUUCAGGUCUGAAUCUUCCGGUUACUGAUGCCCCGAGUUCCUUUUAACUUCCUCAGUGUCCCAGUGCAUGCUGCUUCUCCCAACACUGUCACAUGAACAGAGCCUUUGUUAAUGCGAACACUAACACCUGCACCUUUUUCUGCUAGAACACAUCAAAAUGGCUGCCGUGUGUGAGAGACACACAUAUAGAGACAAGGGGAGGAAGAAGAGACAAAAUAAAUCAGAGAAAGGGUUUCUCUGUAAGCUUCCCUUGUUACAUAUAAGAGGCAAUCUGUGCUUUUAUUUGUAUUUUAUAAGUAAGUCAUACUGCAGUCGACCAUGCUUACAAGGACAAGACCGGACUUCCUCGUACUGUGAGCCAGGUUAAAGACAAGAAGAAAUAAUGUAUUAAUAUUGGGUCCAUAUUCUCAUCCUCCACUAAAAUUUAGCUUUGCGUGAAAAUAAUCUGUCUUCAUUGUACAAUAAAACCCAAGUUUAUUAAA